AUGGCCGGGACAAGAGACGACUACGACGUCACGGCGGCGCUCGACGAGUUCUACGCGUCCCGCACCGGCGUCUGCGGCCUGGUCGAGUCCGGUGUCACCAUCGUGCCACCGCUCUUCCUCGCGCCGAACAGCCCGCCUCCACCGCCACUCGGGACGACGAACUUCAUCAUCCCAACCAUCGACCUCUCUCUCCCACGCUCGGUCAUCGUGCCCCUCGUCCACGCCGCCGCGCGCACCUGCGGCAUCUUUUACGUCACCAACCACGGCGUCCCUGCUGACGUCAUUGACUCCGCCCUGUCCGCCGUCCGCGCCUUCCACGAGCUGCCUCCCGCCGUCCGGUCGGCGUUCUACACGCUCGCGCCCGUCGGUGGCGUAAGCUUCAGCACGUACCGCAACGACCGGCCACGGCAGGCUGCCAGGCCCGACGCCAUCCCCGUCCUGCCUUGGCGCGACAGCCUCACCAUCAGCCUCGCCCCGCCGGGUCCCGACAUGGGCCACUUCCCCGCGAGCUGCCGGGACCCGUUGCUUGAGUAUCACCGGGUCAUGGCGGAGUUCGGAAAGAAGAAGAUCGGGGCGCUGCUGUCAGAGGCGCUCGGUGUCGGUGCAGAGUGGCUCGAGAAGACUAUGCAGAUGGAGGCUGCGUCUAUGGCGUCCCACUACUAUCCUCCAUGCCCGGAGCCCGCGAAGGUGAUCGGCGGUAUGGACCACACCGACCCAUUCCUGUUCACGGUGCUGGUGCAGGACGCCGUCGGAGGGCUCGUGGUGCAUGUCGACGAUGGGGAGUGGAUAGACGUGCCGCCGGUGGCUGGAACGCUCUUAAUAAACAUCACAGAAUUGCUCAAGGUGUUUUCGAACGAUGAGUACAUUAGCAUAGAUCACAGGGUGAGGGUCAAGUCGAUGAAGGAAUCAAGGGUAUCCAUCGCCCUCUUCUUCAAUCCAAGCGACUCCCACAUAAUCGAGCCUCUCCCGGAGCUCGUGACGGCAGACAAGCCCCGACGGUACCGGAGUUUCACCAUGACUGAGUUCAUGGAUUCGAGAAAAGGCAAGUUCGGGAAUGGCAGCUCGUCCAUCCAGCAAUUCGCGCUCACGAGCGAACCAAGCUCUUAA
Molecule: ribosomal RNA, 1107 nt
Filed under: Triticum aestivum (bread wheat)
Lineage: Eukaryota; Viridiplantae; Streptophyta; Magnoliopsida; Poales; Poaceae
Description: partial small subunit ribosomal RNA
Source: RNAcentral